UUGGCGGGGUAAUGGCCCACCAAGGCAACGAUGGGUAGCCGACCUGAGAGGGUGAUCGGCCACACUGGGACUGAGACACGGCCCAGACUCCUACGGGAGGCAGCAGUGGGGAAUAUUGCGCAAUGGGGGGAACCCUGACGCAGCAACGCCGCGUGAGUGAAGAAGGCCUUCGGGUCGUAAAACUCUGUCAUAGGGGAAGAAAAAGAUGACGGUACCCUAUGAGGAAGCCCCGGCUAACUACGUGCCAGCAGCCGCGGUAAUACGUAGGGGGCGAGCGUUGUCCGGAAUUACUGGGCGUAAAGGGUGCGCAGGCGGCCGAUUAAGUCAGAUGUGAAAUACCACGGCUCAACUGUGGGGGUGCAUUUGAAACUGGUUGGCUUGAGUGCAGGAGAGGAAAGUGGAAUUCCUAGUGUAGCGGUGAAAUGCGUAGAGAUUAGGAGGAACACCAGUGGCGAAGGCGACUUUCUGGACUGUAACUGACGCUGAGGCACGAAAGCGUGGGUAGCGAACAGGAUUAGAUACCCUGGUAGUCCACGCCGUAAACGAUGGAUACUAGGUGUAGGGGGUAUCGACCCCCCCUGUGCCGGAGUUAACGC
This 596-nucleotide ribosomal RNA is filed under the name uncultured bacterium. RNAcentral describes it as "bacterial SSU rRNA". It matches the Rfam family "Bacterial small subunit ribosomal RNA", at positions 249 to 858 of the family's 1533-position model. The record is from RNAcentral.